Canis lupus familiaris (dog) is the source of this 1041-nucleotide long non-coding RNA. RefSeq lists it as uncharacterized. The record is from RefSeq and is a predicted model, not a curated record. The transcript has 3 exons. NCBI's taxonomy places the organism in Eukaryota, Metazoa, Chordata, Mammalia, Carnivora, Canidae.
AGCUCAUGCAAUGUCCUGUGAUAAAAAUAUACCCGACUCUUCCAGGAAUGUGUAGUAGUGGAGACCGAAUGAUGGAGUCUUCUAGACCAUUGUAAAGACUUUAGCUUUUAUUCUGACAGAAUUAGAAGUCAAACAGAAGUUUUGGAACACAGGAGUGACAUGAUUCUCAUUACAUAAUAAUGGGGCAAGAAUGCAAGGAAGGAGAAGAGUUAUGAGACUAUAACAAUAACCAAGAUAAUCCGUAAAGAUGAAUUGCAUCAUGGAUAUUGCAGUAAAGGUGGUGAAAUGUGGUUGGACUGUGAAUGUAUUUUUAAGUCAAUGCAAACAGGAUUUUCUGAUAAAUCAGAUGUGAAGAGUGAGAGAAGGAAGAAGUAUAGGAUGGGGAAGCCUGUAUUCUCUUCCUGCCAAGCCAUUUUUGCUUAGUCUUCUUUUGCCACCUUCACUUGCCCUGUUAUUGGAGAGCUGCUAUCAGGAUUCCCGUUAUGCUCAGCUAACCCUGAUGAAUGAUUAAAUUUGGCUCCAGAUGUAACGUUUUUGGAGAUCAGGGGCCUACAGCAAUGUAAAGCUGAGGAUGACAAUGAUCAUGAAGGUCCUGUAAGAAUCUUCCUGGAAAAUAUUGUGUUAAUGUAAAUGAAAGUACAUGAACAAUUUGCAAGAUGCAAGUAAAGAUCAAAUAAUAUGAAGAUUUUGUAAACAAAAAUGGGUAUCUGAAGUCUUACAAAAUAAAGCAAAGACACAAGAUAAAAUAUCAUGUUAAAAGUGUAAGAAGUUGAAAAAAUUGAUUUGGGCCACCAGUUGAUUGUUGAAUGAAUGAAAAAGGAAUGCAUAGAGUGUGAAAAACAUUAAAUUGGAGAAAAACAUUAAAAUGUUGCAAAUUUUUCCAGCAAUACAUAAGUAUUAAUUUCAUGAUGAAAAGACUUGGGCUAUGUGGGAUUCCUAAAUGAAAUUGAAAAGUAGAAAACAAAAUUAUUACUGAAUUUUUAAAAUAUAGUUUACAUAAACUGUGAGACCAUAACUAAUUAAAGACCCAAGAUUUUCUUA